CUGCUACUCACAGUGAACUGUUGCCCACUAGAUGCUCUGAACACACAGUUCAUGGCCCCUGUGACCUUCUGAGCAUUGAAGAUGCAUUCAAGCUUGGCCAGAAUAUGGCAAAGGCAAGGGGACUUGCCUCAAGGUACAGAAUUGAGAUGGCAUUGCAUGAAACACAGCCAUCGGCAUCUCUGUAGACACUGACUCACUUUCAGAAUUAUAGGUUCCAGGAUAUGGAAUAGAGGGGGAAGAAACCCAGGGAGAGCCCUUCUCAGGCAGAUGAAGCACUUUGAGUGCUGUUCUGGAAAGAGCCACUCCCACCAGCUAUAAAAUUUCACAAAUCCACAAAACAAACAAGUUGCCAUUCUGCAAAACCCUCAUACCUAUGGAAUCCUCAUUUCCUGCGAGGUGUGGAUUUCAGCUAUUUUUAACCUGGAUGUGUUCUGUGAUAUGUUUCCCACACAGCACAGAAACUGGCACAGCUGAGGGGCCGGGAGCCAGGAGGGCUGGCGCUCGGGACACCUCCUCCUGGUGCGCUGCCAAGGACGGUGGCCGUGUCCUGCGGCCAGGGCGGUGGCCCCGGGCACUCGGCAUCCGUCCUGCGGCUCGCCGACCCUCCCCUCGAGACCUACUUCUGCCGGGACAGGCAAGGCUUAAAAAUGCCUUGGACCUGCAAACUGAGCACAGUUGCUCCGUGGAAGGCAGGGAAUCACAGGUCUCCUGCUUCUGCCUUUCCCCUUCCUGCUAUUUCAUUCUGAUUGCUGGGACUGUAAAACCUCUGGAGCAGGCACUGUUUCCCAUUGUGAAGCUACUUUGUAAACCUUCCUAA
RNAcentral lists this long non-coding RNA (817 nucleotides) under Zonotrichia albicollis (white-throated sparrow). Its description in RNAcentral is "lncRNA (ENSZALG00000011636.1)". The record is from RNAcentral. Lineage: Eukaryota; Metazoa; Chordata; Aves; Passeriformes; Passerellidae.